UUCACGGACAUUUUGAAAUAUAAAAACUUCACCUUGCUAUUAUUCUUUGGAAUUUUUUUGUCGCCAAUAAAAAAUCGUUUGUUUUAAUAGUUGAUUAUGGUCUGGCAAAACCUUACAUUGAUUCUGAAACAAAGAAACAUAUUUCCUACUCAGAACAUAGAUCCAUAACAGGAACUGUUCGUUAUAUGUCUAUAAAUGCUCAUCAAGGAGCUGAACAGAGUAGAAGGGAUGAUAUGGAAGCUACGGGUUACCUAAUGGUGUAUUUACUAAAGCGUGGAACUCUUCCUUGGAUGGGACUGAAAGAGGAAGAUUUGAGAGAACGAUAUCGAACUAUUGGAAAGAUGAAGGAAAAUAUAUCGUUAAGAAAACUAUGUUCAG
Molecule: long non-coding RNA, 378 nt
Organism: Eurytemora carolleeae
Lineage: Eukaryota; Metazoa; Arthropoda; Copepoda; Calanoida; Temoridae
Exons: 4
Source: RefSeq, a predicted model, not a curated record